This 465-nucleotide ribosomal RNA is filed under the name uncultured Klebsiella sp. RNAcentral's name for it is "bacterial SSU rRNA". It matches the Rfam family "Bacterial small subunit ribosomal RNA", at positions 338 to 795 of the family's 1533-position model. Lineage: Bacteria; Pseudomonadati; Pseudomonadota; Gammaproteobacteria; Enterobacterales; Enterobacteriaceae. The record is from RNAcentral.
CCUACGGGUGGCUGCAGUGGGGAAUAUUGCACAAUGGGCGCAAGCCUGAUGCAGCCAUGCCGCGUGUGUGAAGAAGGCCUUCGGGUUGUAAAGCACUUUCAGCGGGGAGGAAGGCGUUAAGGUUAAUAACCUUGGCGAUUGACGUUACCCGCAGAAGAAGCACCGGCUAACUCCGUGCCAGCAGCCGCGGUAAUACGGAGGGUGCAAGCGUUAAUCGGAAUUACUGGGCGUAAAGCGCACGCAGGCGGUCUGUCAAGUCGGAUGUGAAAUCCCCGGGCUCAACCUGGGAACUGCAUUCGAACCUGGCAGGCUAGAGUCUUGUAGAGGGGGGUAGAAUUCCAGGUGUAGCGGUGAAAUGCGUAGAGAUCUGGAGGAAUACCGGUGGCGAAGGCGGCCCCCUGGACAAAGACUGACGCUCAGGUGCGAAAGCGUGGGGAGCAAACAGGAUUAGAUACCCCAGUAGUC